GUCCAGGGGCGGAAUCGAACCCACCCCUUCUGCUUACCGGGCAGUGCCUUGUCCACACGGCUACCCUGGA
Molecule: transfer RNA, 70 nt
Filed under: Cordylochernes scorpioides
Lineage: Eukaryota; Metazoa; Arthropoda; Arachnida; Pseudoscorpiones; Chernetidae
Description: tRNA-Thr
Source: RNAcentral